GUGGGGAACUGUCAAGAAGUUCCACUCUGGUUUCAGAGCAUACCAGAAUGCUAGGAAAUCCGAUAUUUCUGUUUCCAGAAGCGCAUUGAUGGCCAGGAUCACCACAAAGAUUUCUUUCGAAAGAAACACAGAUUCCUCAGAGCCAGAGUCUGGUGAAGUACGAACUCAAGUGGUGAGGAGAAAGCUCCAAAAUGAUGCUGGCAUAGAUUGGAAAUGGAUAGUCAUUGGUGGGACAGUGGCUGUAGUCUGUGGACUUCGAACAGGUGCAAUUGGGAAAGCCUUGUUACUUGGGGCAGGACAGAGA
Molecule: unclassified non-coding RNA, 304 nt
Filed under: Hevea brasiliensis (rubber tree)
Lineage: Eukaryota; Viridiplantae; Streptophyta; Magnoliopsida; Malpighiales; Euphorbiaceae
Source: RNAcentral